UACGUAGGGUGCGAGCGUUAAUCGGAAUUACUGGGCGUAAAGCGUGCGCAGGCGGCUUUGCAAGACAGAUGUGAAAUCCCCGGGCUCAACCUGGGAACUGCAUUUGUGACUGCAAGGCUAGAGUACGGCAGGGGGGGAUGGAAUUCCGCGUGUAGCAGUGAAAUGCGUAGAUAUGCGGAGGAACACCAAUGGCGAAGACAAUCCCCUGGGCCUGUACU
RNAcentral lists this ribosomal RNA (218 nucleotides) under uncultured bacterium. RNAcentral's name for it is "partial 16S ribosomal RNA". It matches the Rfam family "Bacterial small subunit ribosomal RNA", at positions 524 to 741 of the family's 1533-position model. The record is from RNAcentral.